This 385-nucleotide ribosomal RNA is filed under the name uncultured bacterium. RNAcentral describes it as "bacterial SSU rRNA". It matches the Rfam family "Bacterial small subunit ribosomal RNA", at positions 29 to 441 of the family's 1533-position model. The record is from RNAcentral.
AACGAACGCUGGCGGCAGGCCUAACACAUGCAAGUCGAACGGGCGUAGCAAUACGUCAGUGGCAGACGGGUGAGUAACGCGUGGGAACGUACCUUUUGGUUCGGAACAACCCAGGGAAACUUGGGCUAAUACCGGAUAAGCCCUUACGGGGAAGAUUUAUCGCCGAAGAUCGGCCCGCGUCUGAUUAGCUAGUUGGUGAGGUAACGGCUCACCAAGGCAACGAUCAGUAGCUGGUCUGAGAGGAUGAUCAGCCACAUUGGGACUGAGACACGGCCCAAACUCCUACGGGAGGCAGCAGUGGGGAAUAUUGGACAAUGGGCGCAAGCCUGAUCCAGCCAUGCCGCGUGAGUGAUGAAGGCCCUAGGGUUGUAAAGCUCUUUUGUGC